This 305-nucleotide ribosomal RNA is filed under the name uncultured bacterium. Its description in RNAcentral is "bacterial SSU rRNA". It matches the Rfam family "Bacterial small subunit ribosomal RNA", at positions 333 to 655 of the family's 1533-position model. The record is from RNAcentral.
CGACCCUACGGGAGGCAGCAGUGGGGAAUAUUGCACAAUGGGGGAAACCCUGAUGCAGCAACGCCGCGUGAAGGAAGACGGUUUUCGGAUUGUAAACUUCUGUUCUUAGUGAAGAAAAAUGACGGUAGCUGAGGAGCAAGCCACGGCUAACUACGUGCCAGCAGCCGCGGUAAUACGUAGGUGGCAAGCGUUGUCCGGAAUUACUGGGUGUAAAGGGAGCGCAGGCGGGAAGCCAAGUCAGCUGUGAAAACUACGGGCUUAACUUGUAGACUGCAGUUGAAACUGGUUUUCUUGAGUACUGGAGG